AAACAUUCAUUUACACAUGUCAUUGCAUGCUCACCUUCAUUUAGGGUAUUAUCGCAGCAAAAUUUUAUUACUAAGCAUGCAUCAAAUUAAUAUAAAUCUCCUAAAUUUACUUUACCUAAAUUAAAACAGUCAUGGCAUAAGCCUAUACGGUAAACAAAACUCAAAACAUUGAGAGUGUAUCAUUCAACUCUCCAUUAAAAUAUAAUGAUAAAA
RNAcentral lists this long non-coding RNA (213 nucleotides) under Lathyrus oleraceus (garden pea). RNAcentral's name for it is "Pisum sativum (pea) long non-coding RNA (PSAT_LNC018738)". The record is from RNAcentral. Lineage: Eukaryota; Viridiplantae; Streptophyta; Magnoliopsida; Fabales; Fabaceae.